GUUAGAACUUGGUUCAAUUAUUUUUCUAAUUGGAUUAGGCUCAAAUUAGUUAGGUUUGGGUUCCUAGUUGGAUUAGGAUUUGACCUUUUCUUUAGUGCAACCAAAUCUGAUUUGGUCAAAGAUUUAAUUUGGUUCAAAUAAGGCACAAAAGGAAAUCCCAAUUGGAUUGGGAUUCUUCCUCUCCCUUGCGCCACAAGGAAUCCCCAUGAGAUUAUCAAUGCCAACCCAUAUUCCACCGCCCCUUCUCUUAUGUUUUAGCAUGAGAUAUCUUAUGCUAAAAGA
This 282-nucleotide long non-coding RNA is filed under the name Elaeis guineensis (African oil palm). RNAcentral describes it as "long non-coding RNA (EGUI_LNC053114)". Lineage: Eukaryota; Viridiplantae; Streptophyta; Magnoliopsida; Arecales; Arecaceae. The record is from RNAcentral.